This 253-nucleotide ribosomal RNA is filed under the name uncultured bacterium. RNAcentral describes it as "partial 16S ribosomal RNA". It matches the Rfam family "Bacterial small subunit ribosomal RNA", at positions 524 to 776 of the family's 1533-position model. The record is from RNAcentral.
UACGUAGGGUGCGAGCGUUAAUCGGAAUUACUGGGCGUAAAGCGUGCGCAGGCGGUUUGCUAAGACCGAUGUGAAAUCCCCGGGCUUAACCUGGGAACUGCAUUGGUGACUGGCAGGCUAGAGUAUGGCAGAGGGGGGUAGAAUUCCACGUGUAGCAGUGAAAUGCGUAGAGAUGUGGAGGAACACCGAUGGCGAAGGCAGCCCCCUGGGCUGAGAUUGACGCUCAGGCACGAAAGCGUGGGGAGCAAACAGG